ACGGCGAGUGAAGCGGCAAAAGCUCAAAUUUGAAAUCCCCCGGGAAUUGUAAUUUGAAGAGAUUUGGGUCCGGCCGGCGGGGGUUAAGUCCACUGGAAAGUGGCGCCACAGAGGGUGACAGCCCCGUGAACCCCUUCAACGCCCUCAUCCCAGAUCUCCAAGAGUCGAGUUGUUUGGGAAUGCAGCUCUAAGUGGGUGGUAAAUUCCAUCUAAAGCUAAAUACCGGCGAGAGACCGAUAGCGAACAAGUACAGUGAUGGAAAGAUGAAAAGCACUUUGAAAAGAGAGUGAAAAAGUACGUGAAAUUGUUGAAAGGGAAGGGCUUGCAAGCAGACACUUAACUGGGCCAGCAUCGGGGCGGCGGGGAGCAAAACCACCGGGGAAUGUACCUUUCGAGGAUUAUAACCCCGGCCCUUACUCCCACACCACCCCGAGGCCU
RNAcentral lists this ribosomal RNA (438 nucleotides) under Metschnikowia pulcherrima. RNAcentral's name for it is "eukaryotic LSU rRNA". It matches the Rfam family "Eukaryotic large subunit ribosomal RNA", at positions 86 to 467 of the family's 3401-position model. The record is from RNAcentral. Lineage: Eukaryota; Fungi; Ascomycota; Pichiomycetes; Serinales; Metschnikowiaceae.